Molecule: ribosomal RNA, 225 nt
Filed under: uncultured Rhodoferax sp.
Lineage: Bacteria; Pseudomonadati; Pseudomonadota; Betaproteobacteria; Burkholderiales; Comamonadaceae
Description: partial 16S ribosomal RNA
Rfam family: Bacterial small subunit ribosomal RNA
Source: RNAcentral
UGACAAGCCGGAGGAAGGUGGGGAUGACGUCAAGUCCUCAUGGCCCUUAUAGUGGGGCUACACACGUCAUACAAUGGCUGGUACAAAGGGUUGCCAACCCGCGAGGGGAGCCAAUCCCAUAAAGCCAGUCGUAGUCCGGAUCGUAGUCUGCAACUCGACUACGUGAAGUCGGAAUCGCUAGUAAUCGUGGAUCAGAAUGUCACGGUGAAUACGUUCCCGGGUCUU